RNAcentral lists this long non-coding RNA (755 nucleotides) under Homo sapiens (human). Its description in RNAcentral is "HSALNT0375503". Lineage: Eukaryota; Metazoa; Chordata; Mammalia; Primates; Hominidae. The record is from RNAcentral.
CAAUACAGGGGUGCUAAGUCAUUAUAAAAAAAGAUACUUGCCACCCUGAAGGUAAUUACGUAUGAUUUUUAAUAUAUUUUCUCAGAAAAUCAAAUUUUUGGAAAUAUUUAAAUUCAAAGCAUUCUUUUUGCGAUUUUGCAUUCUUUUAACCCAUUUUUCAUUCCAUUCUUUCUCAUUUAAUGUCUUGUUACAUAAAUUUUAAACAUAAUUAAUUGCGUGAGUCAAAAUGUUUAAGAGUAUUCUCUGGUAUCUGAACUACUUUGCAGGAUCAGAUAUAAUACUGUGGAGAGUAAUAUCAGCACUUUUAUAAUUAUGAAAAUGCUUUUAUGUCAGAAGAUACUUAAGCUGAAGAUUCAUGGGUUACAAAAAAUAAACAUUUCAAACUUUAAACUUAUUUUCUGGAAUGAUACUUGCUCUGAAAUAAUAUUCAAAACACUUUUCCGAAAUGCAUCUAGCCACACAGGAGAAUGAGCAUGCAAGGAGGUAGAGGGUCGGUGGUGAAAAAAUUAUAGAUUUCAAAGUUAUUGUUUGAAAUAACCCAAACAAGCAAAACAUUAGUAUUUUUAUCUUGAAAUUCUUGGUGAAUUUUAUGUUCUAGCCCAUAAUAUAUUAGUUUAUUUUAACACAAAAGUUUCUUCCAAAAUGGACAUGUCCAAAAGAUACACCAUGCUGGCGACGGGGGUGGCGGCGGCGGCAGCGAGUUCGGUUGCGCGUGGCGCACCGGGUGGGAGCGGAGACCAGGCCGGGAGCAGGCG